GCUUUUGAUUAAUUAAGCAUGAUAAAAGGGUUGAUGGGGGAUAUUAAAUUAGAGUGGUGCAGUAGAAGUGUGGUGAACCUAAUACAUUGGUUGCAGAAAAAUAGAUGAUGUGAUUGGAGAAGAUAUUUGAUGUACAAAAUUAUUCUGAUGAUCAAAAGAAUUUCUGGAGAUCAAGGACAGGAAUAGCAAGGACAAGUUUACCAAAAAAAAAAAAAGAUUAGAAAUGAAUCAGAAUGUGAUAAUAAGAGGGUCAAGACAUCAUCGAUUUGAAAAGGGAAGUCACCAUAAAAGAUUCAAUCCUGUGUACGAUGCGAGUUAGAUUAUGAAAUAAGUUUGUA
This 338-nucleotide long non-coding RNA is filed under the name Musa acuminata (dwarf banana). RNAcentral's name for it is "long non-coding RNA (MACU_LNC010171)". The record is from RNAcentral. Lineage: Eukaryota; Viridiplantae; Streptophyta; Magnoliopsida; Zingiberales; Musaceae.